This is a long non-coding RNA of Cryptomeria japonica (Japanese cedar), 412 nucleotides long. RefSeq lists it as uncharacterized. The record is from RefSeq and is a predicted model, not a curated record. Lineage: Eukaryota; Viridiplantae; Streptophyta; Pinopsida; Cupressales; Cupressaceae. The transcript has 2 exons.
UCUUUUCUACUUUGCAUUCGACAUCUUCAAUCUUUUGUUCUAUUCUUCUGGAAGGACGCCGCCAUGAGGGUUUAAAUAGAGGAGCUUUUAUGUGAUAUAUUGCAGGUUUUGUAGGUCGACAUGGGGUGUAUGACGAGUCUUUGCACCACUGCUUUGACAGUCAACUGUUGUUCCUUCUCAUCUGCAUUUUGCAUUGCUCCAAAACUUUGAAUGGGAUCCUUUGUUUGAUAUUUUUAUAAUAAUUUCGUGUUUUAGAUUUUAUGUAUUUGUCAAAAGUAGCUUCUAGUUGUUGCAAAAAAGUGUCAAUGAUUCUCAAAACUGAAUCCUCUCAUUGCUAUGACUGUCCAUCAUUAUGUAACCUUACCCUGUGCUGUGACUAAUGACUGUCUUAAAUAAUCAAGGUUGUUGCUCA